GACGAACGCUGGCGGCGUGCUUAACACAUGCAAGUCGAACGGAAAGGCCCUGCUUUUGUGGGGUGCUCGAGUGGCGAACGGGUGAGUAACACGUGAGUAACCUGCCCUUGACUUUGGGAUAACUUCAGGAAACUGGGGCUAAUACCGGAUAGGAGCUCCUGCUGCAUGGUGGGGGUUGGAAAGUUUCGGCGGUUGGGGAUGGACUCGCGGCUUAUCAGCUUGUUGGUGGGGUAGUGGCUUACCAAGGCUUUGACGGGUAGCCGGCAUGAGAGGGUGACCGGCGACAUGGGGACUGCGAGACGGACCAGAGUCCUACGGGAGGCAGCAGUGGGGAAUAUUGCACAAUGGGCGGAAGCCUGAUGCAGCAGCGCUGCGUGCGGGAUGACGGCCUUCGGGUUGUAAACCGCUUUCGCCUGUGACGAAGCGUGAGUGACGGUAAUGGGUAAAGAAGCACCGGCUAACUACGUG
Molecule: ribosomal RNA, 468 nt
Filed under: uncultured bacterium
Lineage: Bacteria
Description: partial 16S ribosomal RNA
Rfam family: Bacterial small subunit ribosomal RNA
Source: RNAcentral